Molecule: long non-coding RNA, 995 nt
Filed under: Homo sapiens (human)
Lineage: Eukaryota; Metazoa; Chordata; Mammalia; Primates; Hominidae
Description: HSALNT0028548
Source: RNAcentral
CAACAAUUAAGUGACUCAUCAAAAAUAAAUUUCUUCGGAAAAACACCUCCACACCCUAACUCUCUUUAUGUCUUUUGGUCUACACUAACUCACUCUCUCUCUCACGCACACACACACACGCAACAACUCACACACAACUUGGCAUUAGGAUCUCUCACACUCACACACACACACACACACACCCUGGCAUUCGGAUCUCUUCCUAACACAACCCUAGCAUUAUAUCUCGCACACUCACACACACCCUAGCUUAGAAUCUAAUUCAAACACACACCAUGGCAUUACAAUCUCUUUCUCACACAUACCCUGGCAUUAGGAUCGGUCUCUCUCACACACACACCCUGACAUUAGGAUUUCUCUCACACUCACACACAAUAUUAGGAUCUCUCAGUCAUGCUCACACACCCUGGCAUUAGGGUCUCUCUCACACACAACCUGACAGGGUCUCUCUCACACUCACACACCCUGACAUUAGGGUUUCUCACAUACACACACACUCUGGCAUUAGGAUCACUCUGUCACACACACACACACACACACACCCUGGCAUUAGGAUCACUCUGUCACACACACACAUACCCUGGCAUUAGGAUCACCCUGUCACACACACACACACGCACACACACCCUGGCAUUAGGAUCACUCUGUCACACACACACACACGCACCCUGGCAUUAGGAUCACUCUGUCACACAUACACACACCCUGGCAUUAGGAUCACUCUGUCACACACACACACCCUGACAUUAGGGUUUCUCUCACACACACACACCCUGGCAUUAGGAUCACUCUGUCACACACACACAACCUGACAUUAGGGUUUCUCUCACACACACACACCCUGGCAUUAGGAUCACUCUGUCACACACACACACACACACACCCUGGCAUUAGGAUCACUCUGUCACACACACACACCCUGACAUUAGGGUUUCUCUCACACUCACACACCCUGGCAUUAGGAUCACUGUGUCAUACACACCCUGGCAUUAGGG